GAGUUUGAUCAUGGCUCAGAACGUACGCUGGCGGCACGCCUAACACAUGCAAGUCGAACGAAGUAGCAAUACUUAGUGGCAGACGGGUGAGUAACAUGUAGGUAUCUACCCUUUGGCCUGGAAUAACACGAGGAAACUUGUGCUAAUACCGGAUAAGUCUUUACGGAGAAAGCUUUAUGCACCAUUGGAUGAGCCUGCACUUGAUUAGUUUGUUGGUAGGGUAAUGGCCUACCAAGACUGUGAUCAAUAGCUGAUUUGAGAGGAUGAUCAGCCACAUUGGGACUGAGACACGGCCCAAACUCCUACGGGAGGCAGCAGUGGGGAAUCUUGCACAAUGGAGGAAACUCUGAUGCAGCGAUGCCGCGUGAGUGAAGAAGGCCCUUGGGUUGUAAAGCUCUUUCGUCGGGGAAGAAAAUGACUGUACCCGAAUAAGAAGGUCCGGCUAACUUCGUGCUAGCAGCCGCGGUAAUACGAAGGGACCUAGCGUAGUUCGGAAUUACUGGGCUUAAAGAGUUCGUAGGUGGUUGAAAAAGUUGGUGGUGAAAUCCCAGAGCUUAACUCUGGAACUGCCAUCAAAACUUUUCAGCUAGAGUUUGAUAGAGGAAAGCAGAAUUUCUAGUGUAGAGGUGAAAUUCGUAGAUAUUAGAAAGAAUACCAAUUGCGAAGGCGGCUUUCUGGACCAUUACUGACACUGAGGAACGAAAGCAUGGGUAGCGAAGAGGAUUAGAUACCCUCGUAGUCCAUGCCGUAAACGAUGUGUGUUAGACGUUGGAAAUUUAUUUUCAGUGUCGCAGCGAAAGCGAUAAACACACCGCCUGGGGAGUACGACCGCGAGGUUAAAACUCAAAUGAAUUGACGGGGACCCGCACAAGUAGUGGAGCAUGUGGUUUAAUUCGAAGAUACGCGCAGAACCUUACCAACACUUGACAUGUUCGUCGCGACUUUAAGAGAUUAAAGUUUUCGGUUCGGCCGGACGAAACACAGGUGCUGCAUGGCUGUCGUCAGCUCGUGUCGUGAGAUGUUGGGUUAAGUCCCGCAACGAGCGCAACCCUCACUUUUAGUUGCCAUCAUUUAGUUGGGCACUCUGAAAGAACUGCCAGUGAUAAGCUGGAGGAAGGUGGGGAUGACGUCAAGUCCUCAUGGCCCUUACGUGUUGGGCUACACACGUGCUACAAUGGUAUCUACAACAGGAAGCAAGACGGCGACGUUUAGCAAAUCCUUAAAAGAUACCUCAGUUCGGAUUGCACUCUGCAACUCGAGUGCAUGAAGCUGGAAUUACUAGUAAUCGUGGAUCAGCGUGCCACGGUGAAUGCGUUCCCGGGUCUUGUACACACCGCCCGUCACACCAUGGGAGUUGGUUCUACCUUAAGGCAAGGUUUCAAACCCUUGACCACGGUAUAGUCAGCGACUGGGGUGAAGUCGUAACAAGGUAACC
This 1435-nucleotide ribosomal RNA is filed under the name uncultured marine bacterium. RNAcentral describes it as "bacterial SSU rRNA". It matches the Rfam family "Bacterial small subunit ribosomal RNA". The record is from RNAcentral.